UACUGCACAAUGGAGGGAACUCUGAUGCAGCAACCCCGCGUGAGUGAAGAAGGUUUUCGGAUCGUAAAACUCAGUCAGUGGGGAAGAACAAAUGACGGUACCCAAUGAGGAAGCCACGGCUAACUACGUGCCAGCAGCGGCGGUAAUACGUAGGGUGCGAGCGUUGUUCGGAAUGACUGGGCGUAAAGGGUACGUAGGCAGCUAUAUAAGUCAGGUGUGAAAUACCAAUGCUUAACACUGGAAUUGCAUUUGAAACUGUGUAGCUUGAGUGCAGGUGAGCAAAGUGGAAUACCUAAUGUAGCGGUGAGAUGCGUAGAGAUUAGGAGGAACACCAGUGGAGAAGGCGACUUUCUGGACUGUAACUGACGCUGAGGUACGAAAGCGUGGGUAGCGAACA
RNAcentral lists this ribosomal RNA (397 nucleotides) under uncultured bacterium. RNAcentral's name for it is "partial 16S ribosomal RNA". It matches the Rfam family "Bacterial small subunit ribosomal RNA", at positions 362 to 774 of the family's 1533-position model. The record is from RNAcentral.